GGAUAGCUCAGUUGGUAGAGCAUGAGGCUUUUCAUCUCAGGGUCGUGAGUUCGAGCCCCACGUUGUGCA
This is a non-coding RNA of Podarcis lilfordi (Lilford's wall lizard), 69 nucleotides long. The record is from the annotation of a GenBank genome assembly. NCBI's taxonomy places the organism in Eukaryota, Metazoa, Chordata, Lepidosauria, Squamata, Lacertidae.